ACCUCACUCUGUAUCCUCAGCAUCUAGAACAGUGCUCGGUCCGUACUGAAUGCACAGACUGACAAUUUCCUAACCUCUAACCAAACACACACUCAGAGAUGAUCAUGGAAAGCAAAGGAUGAACUAACUGCUCCGGGGCCUUGGGAAGUCUGCAGCUCCUGAAACCACACUUCAGAGAGCAGUAGAGAGUCCAGUGUCCCUAGGCAGCUGCCACCUCUCCUUCCCUGGCUCAUCAACUCCCACUCCACUGAAGUGGAGGGUCCAGGGGAGGGAGGGCCCAGCAUCUAGGGCUUCAAGCGAUUCUCCUGCCUCAGCCUCCCUAGUAGCUGGGAUUACAGG
This 339-nucleotide long non-coding RNA is filed under the name Pan troglodytes (chimpanzee). Its description in RNAcentral is "long non-coding RNA NONPTRT003622". The record is from RNAcentral. Lineage: Eukaryota; Metazoa; Chordata; Mammalia; Primates; Hominidae.